UCUCCGCCAUUUAAAGAAACAGUACCGGGGGCGGGCCGAGCGACGCAGCCGGGACGGUAGCUGCGGCGCAGACCGGAGGAGCCAUCUUGUCUCGUCGCCGGGGAGUCAGGCCCCUAACUCGAAGAAGCCCUGGCGCGCCCUCCCCCCCUUCCCGGUCUGGUAGGGCGAAGGAGCGGGCGCGCGGUCGAUCGAGCGAUCGGUUGGCGGCUCUUUCUCCUGCUCUGGCAUCCAGCUCUUGGGGCGCAGGCCCGGCCGCCGCGGCGCGCGCCCGGUGGCCGUUGGCGCUCGCGCCGCGUCUUUCUUCUCGUACGCAGAACUCGGGCGGCGGCCUAUGCGUUUGCGAUUCGACGAGGAGUCGUCCGGGUGGUCGGCGGCGGCGGGCAGCUGCUCCGCCCCGCUCCCGGGGAGGCGGCGGCGGCGGCGGCGGCGGGAUUUGGCGCGGCCGGGGAGGCGGGGGUGGCCGGGGCCGGCCUGGAGGCCUGGCGCCACCCUUCGGGGCCUGCAAGGACCCAGUUGGGGGGGCAAGAGGGGGCUGGGGGAUGGUUGGUGGUGGGCUUUCUACUUUGCCUUUUUCUCCUCAUGCCGCCUUAGUGAGGGGCAGGAGCUUUGGCGGCAGCUCCGGGGUAGGGAGACAAGCCCCGGAGUCGGAAGAGCUGGGUUUGCUUCCGGGCCUAGCCACCAGCUGGCCGAGUGACCUUAGGCAAGUCACUCUAAUUUUCUGCGCCUCAGUUUCCUCCUAUGCCUGUCCAUGUUUGUGGGAUUGAAAGCGCUUUGUAAACUAUAAAGCAUCCGUGUUCGUAAGGGAUGAUUAUUGUUUGUAAUGGUUGUUGUUAGUUACGAGAAAACUUAGCAAUUGCCCAGUCCUUGGAUUUUGAACCUGGGAACCUUGGAUUGGAGUUGGGAUCCCCAAACUCCCCGAAAUUGUAUGCAGAAAUUAGUGGGAAUGUGUGUUUUAGGGGAAUAAGGAUCCAUCGCUUCUGUGACCCAGAAGAGUUAAGAACCACAAUUCCUUUAUGCUACAGGGAGGAAACUGAGGCCUAGAUGUCAUUUGGGACCCUUCACAACCAAUUUGAAGCCCCUGUUUGAAUCCCUGGGAUAUGUGAGCUGUUUCUAUGCAUAAUGGAUAUUCGGGGUAAUGACACUCCGCUGUUUGGCUUCUAUUCUGAGUCUUGUCUUUUCACCAUGGGGUGCCUGAAGGGUGGCUGAUACAUGUGGUACAAUGGCACCCAAUAUAAAGCAGCUAAAACCAGGAGUGGAUGUGUUUUCGGGUAUCAAGAAGCCUAUUUAAUCUGGCCCGACAACUCUGUGUUUUCUGCUGCUUUUACUGGUGCCUGACUACCUUUCUGACUUUCAUUGACCAUUUUCCACGAGUAUAGUUGCUAUCCGUUACUUGCUCCUAUUUUCUAUCCCUAAUCUGUGGUUGGUAGUGAGCAGGCUUAUUUUUAAAUGGUGCUGCCCAGUCCACGUAAUUAAUGGUGCAGGUGGAUUUUUAGCAGGCUGGCUCCCUGGAACAGACUGAACCAGGCGUGGAAUUACUGAAGAUGUUUGGGGGUUUUUCUUUAUUAAGUGAAAGUUAACAUUCUCUGAAAAGUUUUGUUAGAACCUCUGAACCUCAAAAUCAGUAGAUUUGGGAAUAUUUCAAAGCUUAACUUUUUCCUGGCCUGCUUUCUCUUCUAUUUGCUUGCAAGUGUGUUACUAAGAUGGCCAAAAUGCCAGUUUUUGCUUCUUUGUUAAUUAUCAGCUGCUUUUAUCAAAUUCCAGGCCAUUAUCCAGCAAACACUAUAGAAAUGUUUGAACAGUUGGAUUUCAAACAUUUUCGUGUUGUGGAGUGGUGCUUACCAGUGGUACAGCUCUAAGCAAGUGAACACAAACACAUUUCAGUGUAUUUUGUCUGGUUAGGUGUUACCAGUUCUGCUGUUUCAUACAGAUGUCUGAAAAAAUCGAUUGACUAUUCCCUUUGUCUAAAGGGCAGAGACAGAUGAUCUCACUUCCAGAGAAAUGACUGUUUUGGAGAAAAAUGUGUUGUUCUUUUAGUUCUUUUGUAAUUCUGGAGGUACCUCAAAAGAAUCUUAAAGACUGUGGUGAUAAGAUGCUUUCCUCAGGAGAGAGAGAGGAGGAAAAAAACAACUGGAACUUAAGCUUGAAAUUCUGUGACAGAACGUGAGAUGUCCAGGAUAGGAGGUUGAAAGGAUUUCACUACAGUGUUCUGCACUAGCUGGAGCAGAUGUCUUUCAGUGUAGCCACGGCGUGGAUUCUGGAUUUUCAAGAACUGGACCUGAGACCUGGAAGAGCUUAUCAGGAUGUGGCAGGAACUCUGGAACUGGAUAGUUUUAUUUUUGAAUUUUGAGACUGUUGACCUUGCUUUGAGAAGAGAUGACUGAGCAAGCACUGCCACCAGCGCUGUUUCUGGGAAUUCGAACACCUGAGUUGCUGCCAGACCCUUGGUGCAAACUCUGGCAGCACUCCAUCCAAAGUGAGCUACGUCCUGUGCCUCCUGAUUGCUGAGUGUUCACCUGGAUCUUCUGACCACCUUCCUUGUGCUCUUCCGUCAGCCUACAGAUGUGGUACCUGGAUUUUUGCCCAUGGUGAUUGCUACCACCUUACUACUGAAGAAGACAUCAUUCCAGUGGACACUGUGACCCAAGAGGCAUUCAGCCAUCAUGAUGUGGCCUUUACCUCCACUCCUGUCCUGUUCUACCCAGAUUCAGCACAGCCCUUUAUAGUAAAGUCAAACUCUUCAAGCCAAAUAGCUGAAGUUGUUUUAUCACGACAAAGGCCCAGUUUGUUCCAUGAGUGUGCAUUUCGUUUCUUCGGUUCGAGCCUUCAGAGACACAUGAUAAAUUUGGACCAGGGGACUUUUAGUUAUCAACACUGUCUGAAGCAUGGCAACAUCUUUUUGAGAACAACAUUGGACCACACCCCAUAAUCUCAAAUGAUUGAAGUUCAUGAAGUGUCUAGGAUCCCAUUGAGAUCACUGGACUCUGUCCCUUUUGCUUCAAAUCUGUAGUAGCCUACUGAAUGAGAAAGCAGAUAUUAUGACCCAUUGGGAUUAAAACGGGCACAAUGAACUCCUCAUAGCAUCUUCUUUGGGAUUACUCAGGAACCAGAACUUUUCACACAAAUGUAAGAAAUUCUACCAAGGAAUCCCUUUGCCUAACAGCAUCUCACACAGCUCCAAUCAGAUGCCAGAAAAGGCCUCUUGAUACAUCCAGCAUUUUGUGAACACCUUAUUCUUAGAUCAUUGGUUUUCCAAAGGCUUUGUGGCCGUGAAGCCCUUUGAAUGAAAACUGUGUGGAAGCCCAGAGUAAGAGUGAAGCUGCUCUGGAUGAAGCAGGAGUAGGGGGCCUGAAACCUGCCACAAGCAUCUUCUUUUACCACCAUGGUGACACCUAAGGAGACUUCUUUACAACAGCUAGAAUUCUGCAGAACACAGUUUGAAAACCACUGCCCUAGACAGCAAUAUGUUCGACCUGAAUGACAUUUUCAUCUAUACCUCUGCCGAAACAGUCCAAGUUCAGUUGUUGCCGAACAUUCUAAGGGAUACUAACUAUGAGCCAACUCAGAAAAGGCCAAGAAGAUGGGCGUGUCUUUGCCCCCCAGAGUCAUAUGGGCUGAAAGUGGUAUCAGAUGGACCUAGAUUAACAGCCCUCUGCCCUAGAUGGACUUCCACUCAUUCCUGGAAUUGGAUAGAACCAGAGAACAAUUCAUAUGUACUCUACACUGACAAACCCCUUUACCCAACUUCUUUCACACACACCAGAUGUUCUAGUGGUACUUGAAAUACAUGACUUGGAAGUCUUGAUCCUCCUUAGAUACCUGAAUUGCCAGGUAUUGAAGCUGAUAUUGAAGUUGAUGCCUCAUUGAGGCCAUAUUAGACCAACUUGUACGUUGAACCUCCCGUCAUCGGCCAUGGUACUGUACUUCGUGUGCAAGGGAUAACCAUUAACUAUGAAAGCAAAAUUCAGAUACUGGCAACGUUACCUAAAAGGGUACCUGGUUAUCAUUCAUCUUAAACUACAAGUCACUGUGACUCAACCAGUGGCAGUUACACUGCUCCUUGGUUUUUAUUCAGUUUAACUGCUGUUUCCAAGAUAAAUGAGCUAAUAACCUUAAAAAAAAAAGUUAAAACAAUUUCUCCAUCACUGGCAUUUCUGCCUGUUCUGUUCCAAAAAUUAUGAAUACUCAGCUCUAACUGCAUGUAACCCCGAUCCACAAGAGACAAUCUUUGAAUAUCCUUACUUGGGUGUAAUUUAAAAUGUGGCUGUUUGGAAAAUUUUCUUCUAGCCCACAAGGGAUGUUCUUUUAAGAUAGAUCUUUUGAUGUCUGGUACUAUCAAGUAUAGAUGUUAGGGAUAUUUGGAGGUAGGCCUGUUGGCCAGGCCAUGAUGACUGACUUGCUUGGCAUCUCAAAUUGCAUAUCAUCUACCUUUUUGGUGGAAAUGUAGAAUGACUUGAAAAAAAGUCUACAAAGCUUGCAGCUAAGUAUUAUCAGUAGACUCAAGAGCUUCCUGCUGCUGCUGCUUAAUGUCACAAGACCACAGUCCCUCGUCCUUGUGGAUGUUUUAAUGGAAUUUCAUCUGUCUCAGUGCUGUUGUUUCACACUUAUUCACAGUGGCUGACUUCAUUCCUUGCCGUGAGAUAUUCUCAGGCUUUAAGACAAUUUAUCUGUUUCUGCAGGAAGGAUUCCAUUUAUGAACUCCCAGACCAAAUCACAUCAAACAAGUAGACUUCGAUUUGUGUCAUGAAAGAAAUCUCAUUCCUUUACUACACAGUCAACGUAAGGGCCAGCUGUCCUCAACUACUUUAACAAAUGCACUGGUUAAAUGUUGGGAAAGGUUUCUUUAUGUCUUUGUCUCUUAUCCUUAUGGUGGUUACAUGACUGGGUCUACAAAUCAUCAAACAAGGCCUAAGUCUGUUUACUCUAGACUGUUCACCCUCAACAAAUAAAAAAUCUGAUGACUAGCCUGCUUGUAUAUACAACUAUUAUUUGUAAAGAAGAAAUCAUCUACAAACUAAGUUUUUCUACUACCUUCAAAACGUCAGCUCAAUUUUCUCUUUCUCUGUACUUUACAGAAAAAGAUAUUCAUCUACACUGCCAGUCAUUCCCUUUAAUCCUGUCAAAAUGAGGGGCUUAAGAAUGAGGAUGAUCGUCUGUUCUAGAGUCUAAUGAACACUGUAUAAGAGUUGAUGGUUGAAAAACCAAAACGCCUGAAACUCAAACCUAGUAUCUUGCCUACUAUCUCCAUGCCUCAGAUCUCAUCAGUCAACCAAUCUGAGGCCUUGACUUAUAUAUAAGGUGAUUCUCACAGAUAGGCUGAGUUACAGAGGAUGGAGACUUGAUUACCAAAGAAAGUAGGGCCAAUCUUGAUAAACCUGGCUCUCCCAACCUUAUCAAUCCCAGAUGUAGCAUAGGUUCCUAAACAGAACCUCAAGUCUGAAUUGAGGAUAAAGCCGUCUCCUGAGCUGAAAGCUCUGGGGAAAUGAACAGGAAAAUGAAAGCUGCUGUGCCUGACUGGCCCUUUAAGAUCAGAAAAAUGUAUCCAGAGUAAAGCCUGUGGAUUAACCCUGGAGUACUCAGGAUAAGAACUGAUUUACAGAGCUUCAAUAGUCAUCAUCCUGUUCUUCCAGAUCACGUCUGGCUAAUAGUAUGGCUGGCCCUGCUGAUGGUACCCUACUUGCCUGGUUACCUGAUUCAGCCCUUGCCUGCCUUUUUGGACAUGUUGCUGCAAACAGACUGACUGUGCUUGAGAAGACUACCAGUGAUCUUGGCCUAACUUAUACCCAGGCCCACCAAGGAAUUUUGAACAGAAGCAACCUGCACCUCAGCCUACCAGGACUUAAUGUUCACAACAGGAAGGACCAUUCUGUGUAAUCCUUGACCAACAGCUUUUUCUUGUUGUUAAGUGCAGAGUAAGCCUCUACACCUGUAUUUGAUUGUUUUCAGCACCUGGGACCCCUUUGAUCAGAUCUGCAGGAGUACAGCAGAUUGAAAUCAUUGUCCAUUCCUCUCUCGUGCACUAAUACAGAGAUGAGUCUGAUUCAUCAGCACUCACAGAAAUGUACCAGUUCAACUUGGCAAAAGACUUAACACAAGAAAACUCUUCCACUGAACUUAAAAUUUACCACUGACUUGAAUAGCCUCACAGAACUGUUCACUGGUGGGAGGCUAGUUAUCCUGCUUUAUGUCAGCAAGACAGUUGGGCCUUCAGACUCAUGACCACUGAGUUUACUUAUAUUGAAACUCUGUUGUAUCAUCCAGAGUAUGCUAUUGAACAUGAUUGUUUCAUUCAAAUGGAUUACAAACUUCCUGUGAACAGGACAAACUUACUCCUCAUGAUGUUCUUCCAGAGUAUUAUCGAGGAAGUAACAAUGUUAGCAUCAACUUUAUGACCAGAGAUUAAACUUUUGCGUUAUCUGGUCUUAUCAUUGGCAGGAGUUGUUUUUGAUUGACCAGCAUCCAUUCCAUCUCUUUGUAACAACUCCCUGAUGUUUCUUGGAACCAUAUUUACCUGUUUUCAGUCCACAUGGUUCAGACCUGAUCCAUCAGCAUAGUCCAUCUCCUUGACUGUAGUGAUUGGUUCAGGAAUGUUCAUGUGAUUCAAGUUGGUCUAGUGAUACUGAAGCCCAGGAAUUUUACUGAACUGUGGAGGAGGAGAAGCUCAGAAGCUCUCUUUAUUGAAGUCGCUUAGCUUUGUAAGAUGAAAAACUCAAACCACCAGGGCCCACCAUAUCAAAUGAGCCAGUCAGAAAGUGCCAGUGCAGAAGAAAGCAGAGCCAAAUGAUGGAGAGACUUGAGUCCUGAUAACAAAGUUUGUGCCCCUGGAUCCAACCGUGCCUGAAGCUAGUAUAUCCCCUGGACUUUUCAGUUAUGUGAACCAAUAAAUACCCUGUUUUGCUUAAGUUA
Molecule: non-coding RNA, 6903 nt
Organism: Equus caballus (horse)
Lineage: Eukaryota; Metazoa; Chordata; Mammalia; Perissodactyla; Equidae
Source: RefSeq, a predicted model, not a curated record